Molecule: long non-coding RNA, 3705 nt
Filed under: Theobroma cacao (cacao)
Lineage: Eukaryota; Viridiplantae; Streptophyta; Magnoliopsida; Malvales; Malvaceae
Description: long non-coding RNA (TCAC_LNC001340)
Source: RNAcentral
UUUCUUCUUCUUCAUCCAUGCUCCACACCAUUCUUGAACCUUCCAUGCCAUUUUCUCUUUAUCCACCAGGAAAUCAAGUUUUCUUCACUUUCCUUUCCAUGUUUCCUUUUCCUUUCUUCUCCAAACUUCUUGAGCAUUAAAUUUACAGCCUUUAACCCCAAUUUCCAACACACCAAAAACUUAGGAGGAGAAGAAAGAAAAAGACAGAAAGGAAGAAAAAGCUUGGUUUUGGUGAUUCAAGUAAGGAAAGGUAAGGAUUCUUGUUUUUAGCUUGAGUAGUCUUUGAAAAUAAGUUAGUGACUUAGAGAAAUGUCUUGUGGUGGCAAAGAUUGGCUUGAUUGGAGAAAAAUUGAUAACAUGUAAGCCAAUAAACCCAUGGGUACAUGAAGGACUCAAAGUGGAAAAGGAAAACGGUAAGCUUAACACUAUGUUUUAAGGCUUACGGUUAGUCGAAUAUUGUGAGGAAUUAUGGUUGUUGAAAGGAUUUAUUUGCCUAAGCUAGUUGAAAAUUAUUAAGAUUUUAUGGCAUAUUGUUUAAAAGAAAUGAAAAAGGAAUAUUGUGGAUGGAGGAUUGAGAAACAAAGUAUUGAAAGUUAGAUAGAUAACAAUGCAUGUAAACUAGGAAAUAAUCAAGUGAAAGUGAGAAUGAUUGUUGCUGCCACAUAUGUGGAUUAUGUGUGGAAAUAUAAAAUGAAUUUGGAUAGAAAUUAUUUAUAAAGGUUGAAGUAGGCACGUGGCAUCAUAAAUAAGUUUUCGGUGAUAUAAUCUAAGGAAUUACGUACGCAAUGGAUAUAAGUAAUUUUAGUAAAAAUGUAUUAAGAGGUAAGUUAAUUGAAGAUGGUUUCAUAAUAGGAUGAAAAAUAUAAAUUUAAGUAAGGAUUAAUUAAUUGAAGUGUAUCCCGUAUACGUAUGUAAUUAAAUAUAUUGAGUUCGUAUUAUUGUUAGAAAGUGCAAGGAUAAGGUUAGAGAUGUGGUGGCAUGCUGGAGUAAAUAACGAGCGAUCGACCAGUGAAAAUAGUUAGAGACACCUUUGAACAAAUAGCGACUUAAUAUCUCUUUGUUUUCAGGUGAGUGAACUUGCAUUAAAAUGUUUUGGGAUAUACACAUUUAUGUUUGAUUGAAUCCCUUAAAAUGUUUUAUUGGUUUUUCUUCAAAAACUUGCACGGGAACAAGCCUUUAGUGAAAUGUUUUUGUGAGGUGGAACAUGAUUGUGAUGAAUCUAUGUACUUCUAUAUGAUGCUGAUAUGUAUAUAAGGAUAUAUGAUACAUAUAUAUUGUUAAGUAAUUUUGUAUAAUUGAUGUAACCGUGCAUGUGCAGAGUGGGUAGUGCACAUGCCGGUUGAAUGACAAUGUCAUGAUAAUUACAACCGUGCAUGUGCAAGUGGGCACUGCACAUGCCGGUAAUGAUGCUGUCAUGAUAUUUACAGUCGUGCAUGUGCGGAGUGGGUAGUGCACAUGCCAGUGAUGAUGCACAUGAGCUGGGUGAGAUGGGGUGUCCGGUUAUGUGCACUAUGUGGGGGGAUGCACAUGAGCUUGAUGAAAUAUGGUGGUAUACUAAUUGAUAUAUGCUUAAGUACAUGUAUCUACAAUAGAAAGAUUAUGAUUAUAAUAUGUGAUUAUAUGACAUGAUGAAUCUUGAAAAUUUUCCAUUUUCUUGUGAAUUGAUUUUAUUGUAGCAAGAAACAUUCUGUUUAUACUGCUUUGCUUAGAUGAUUGUUGAAAAUUCUCUCUCUUUCCAAUUUCAUGCUAAAUAUGGUUCCUUCAUUAUGAAAUGAUUUAAUAACCAGAGGUUUGAUGGAGGGAUUUUAAUAAGAACGUGAACUAAGUUGCAUUGUUUUCAAAGAUGGGCAUCAUGAUUUCUAAACCUUCCUUAACGUUGCUUGUUCCCUUCCUAUGUUCACUCACUGAGUUUGUACUCACAUUUUUAAAAAUUCAUGUUUUAGGUUUUCCUGAGUUAAAGGUGAUUGGAUCCUAGGACAAGGUGCUCCUUUCUAUACAUUGCUCGGUAGGUUUAAUGUGACAUUAAGUGUUAUCAAUCGUGCCCAGAGUCACUCCGCUGAAGGUCAAGGUCUAAUUAUGUGUAUCUGAAUAUUUACUGUGAAACAUUAAAAAUCAUUUGUUAAUCUAUUUAUGAAUAUAUUGGUGGAUGAUGCCAUUAUGAAUGUAUUAUUGGAUUUUAUGAAUCGUUUUCAAGGAAACAGUAUUUGAACAUUUUGAGCUUUGGAUUCUAAAGGAAUAAGGAUUAAUGUAUAAGAUCAAUUAAGUAGGCUUGCUUGGGCUUAGUGGGCUGAGCCCAUUAGGUCCUUGUGCCGGUCAUGGCCCCAGAAUUGGGCUAUGACAAACUCCAUCUCGAGUCUUAGGAUACAAUUUGAGACACUAGACCUUUUAUUUGUCAUCCUCAUCAGUAAAGCCUUUUAUUGAAGAACCACCGAAGUUAGAGCUUAAACCAUUGCCAAAUCAUCUAAGGUAUGCAUAUCUUGGUGACUCGUCUAUUCUUCUUGUUAUUAUUUUCCCUGAUCUCACUAACAAGUAAGAAGAUAAGCUAUUGAGAGUUAUGAGAAAGUACAAGAAGACAUUGGGGUAGACAAUAGCAGACAUAAAAGGAAUAAGUCCUUCGAUAUGCAUGCCUAAAAUUUAAAGGAUGUAAUAACUCUAUUAUAUAGAGUUAUUUUAACCCAUUUUGAGACUUAAGUAUCUAGUUCUUUGAGAUUUUAGGUUUGGAUUUUAGUAUUUCAGGUGUUUUUCUUUGUUAAGUUUGGUUACAUGUUGAUUAGUUUAAUUUAAGUAUUUUUAGUUAAUUUUAUGUAAUUUGGUUUUAAACUACUUUAGUAUAGUGAUUGCUGAUAUUACUUAUUGUUCUUAAAGGAAAUUUAAUGAGAAAGGUUUAUUUGAUAAAAAUUCGUGCAAGUAUGGUGAUGGCUUCAUUCAUAUGUAUUGCAAUAUUGUGCAGAUAACUUGAACUACAAAAGUCUAAUUGAUGUGAUUCUUAAUCCAAUGGAAAGCUAAGAGGUAUGGAUGAAACUUUUAUGUUUACCAAUUUGCCCAGUUCGGAAUGGAUAGAGGUGAAAAUUAUGUUGAAAGAGGUUAGACUGCUACAGUUCUACACAAGGUAGUAUAAUGGAAUGAGGGCCGCGAUAUUGAUUUGCUCAAGGUUGUAGUGUCAUGAUGCAUUAGUGCAUGAUACAAAAUCCAAAAAGCAUAGCACCAUGGUGUUGAGGAGAGUAAAGCCAUGGCAUUAGUUGAAGUAAGGCUCCCAUAAUAGAGCUUGAGAGUAGAGCGUCGUGGUGCUAAGUAAGCAAGGCCAUGGGGUUGGAAGAAUAAAGCACAUUAUACAAAGGCUAGGGCGCCACAGUAGACCAAGGCCAUGAUGCUAGACAAAUUUCUAAAAUAAAUUGUUGACUAGAAUUUGGAAAUAAGAGUUUUUGGAGCUUAUUUAAAAGACUUUUUUCAUAGAUUUUAGAGGGUGGACGACAAGUAAUUAUUCUGGAGAAAAAGAGCCAAGAAUGUAGCAAGAAAGAACGAGACUUUAAGAGAGAAUUUAGAUUGAAAAGCAUCAACAAUUAAUUUCUAUUUCUAAUUUUGUGUUUCUUUUAAUUUCUUUGACUUGGAUUCAUGUCUAAUUUUCUUUAGAUGAUAUUUUUAUUUGUUAUUAUGAGCUAAACUAUUUUUCUAGGAUUGUGGUGGAUUUCAACAUGUAAUAUGAAU